GACGAACGCUGGCGGCGUGCUUAACACAUGCAAGUCGAACGGAAAGGCCUGCUUUCCCUUGUGGAUUGCGGGUACUCGAGUGGCGAACGGGUGAGUAACACGUGAGUGAUCUGCCCCCAACUUGGGUAUAAGCCUGGGAAACUGGGUCUAAUUCCCGAUAGGACUGCAGGGUGGUGCCUGUGGUGGAAAACGAUUUUCUAGUGGUUGGGGAUGAGCUCGCGGCCUAUCAGCUUGUUGGUGGGGUAAUGGCCUACCAAGGCGGCGACGGGUAGCCGGCCUGAGAGGGUGGACGGCCACAUUGGGACUGAGAUACGGCCCAGACUCCUACGGGAGGCAGCAGUGGGGAAUAUUGCACUAUGGGCGGAAGCCUGAUGCAGCGACGCCGCGUGGGGGAUGACGGCCUUCGGGUUGUAAACUCCUUUCGACCGCGAGGAAGCCACCUGGUUGGAAGGGUGGUGACGGUAGUGGUAGAAGAAGCACCGGCUAACUACGUG
RNAcentral lists this ribosomal RNA (494 nucleotides) under uncultured bacterium. RNAcentral describes it as "partial 16S ribosomal RNA". It matches the Rfam family "Bacterial small subunit ribosomal RNA", at positions 28 to 507 of the family's 1533-position model. The record is from RNAcentral.